UGGUACUGUCGGACGAAGGAGAAUGGCAGGCUGCAUUCUCACCUCAUGCAACUUCACCAUCCAUCUUCUGACGGUUUCUCAGUGGAAAUUUUCCACAAUUAUGGUGGUUAUAGUGAGUAUAUGAUCCCCAAACAUGGAUCAUGUUAAUUGAGCAAUUGCCACAACAGGGGAUCCUCAUCUCACGGAGUCAUAAUGUGUGUAAUUCAAAAGCACUACAGCGGAAUGAAAUUAACCUGAAAACACUCUGGUGGAAUGUACAUUCUGUUUUUGUUUUCAUCCCGGAUCUAAACGAUGGAUGGUAGGAGUAAGACUACUGUUCUUCAGCCGAUAGCGCAUUGAACAGCAACUCUGGAGCUUUGCUGAAUGGAAUACAAUAUCCGAAUGAUACUGUUAGACCAACGAAACUGGUCGGUUAAAUAAUGUGCAAGAUAUUUCUGGGUCCCGUAGCAAAAGGCUAGCGGUUAAUCGCAAAAUGAAAUGGCCUAUCAAGAUCAUCGUUGCUUGUGCAUUUUUUCAGUACGCUGACUAGGAACCAAUCAGAAUUGUUCUUUCAAAUUAGUCAAUCUCGUAACUGUGACAAGGUUAACCUUCCAAAAUAUAGUAUUCGAGGAAUAUACCUAUGGAACAGGUGUCAAAUUUAUGUAGAUAAACAGAUAACUCUGUCCUCCCAAAACGGUUUGAAUGAUAGUUGUCUUCUUCAGGGGGUGGUAUACAGAACAGUAUUCAAUAAAAAAAAGAUGGGUCGAGUAAGUGCACUAGUUAUUUAUUGCUGCAACUUAUUUCAUUGGACAAACAUUACUUGAAGAUGUAUGAAGAAAUUAAACAAAUAUAAAUUAAUUUAAUAACAUAAGAAAAGGGAAUGUGUAACAUCAUCAGCCCACGUAAUGAAUAUUUAUGAGGACAUGCAUAUAAUUAUUUUCACAAAAUAUUGCUAAACUUCAAAAUUCAAUAGCUUCAUUAUUUUUUUUCCAAUUUUUAUGAAAGCUUCAGCAUUUUGCUUUGUGAAUUGUACUCUUUUCAUUAGAUUUAAAUAUUAUCAGCCCUCUGGAACUUGUGCAAAAAAGCCCCUCAUUCAUUCUUGGGGGAAAUUUUCAUGUAACCUAUAUAACAUGAAUGUUGUUUAAUGAGCUCUCGGAUUCAAUAUGAUAUCAAAACAAUUAUUACAUUCUUUGACCGAAUGUAACAUUGAUAAUUAGGGCAACGGGCAACUCUAUUACGGGUAAAAGAAAGCAUGAUAAGAUUGGAUGUGACCCAAAUCACAGACCAAUCUGGGGCUAAACGAACGGACUGAUUUCAAAGUCAAAGGUGCUCGCCAACAUCAAGUGCGUGUGUGUGUUUCUCUUGACCUUUACUAUUAUUAAUGCGAACUAAGCCUUAUUAUUUUUUUUCCAUUUCCGUUUAAUUUCUGACAUCAACAUUUCAAAUUUUUUCAUUAGAAAUAACGUUUAUCCAGUUACAAACUAAAUCAGCGGGUUGCCAUAUAUUUUACUUGUAUAUUUUCUUCCUCCGGUCUUCGGAGAUCGGUGGCAAGCCGCAGAUUUCAGGUCCUUUCUUGAUGGUGCUGUCAACAUAGGUGGAUUUUUAAGAUUUAUCUUAGGCAGUGAAAUGUCAGAGAAGAAUUUUAGGAUGUGUGCAGGCAAGUCAAGGUUCUCAACAUGCUCUAGUAUGUCCAGACGCUGCGUCAAUUAUUAUAAUCUAUAUAAACACACACAGUAAACGUAUAUUUGUAGCCGGAGGGGUCGUAGAAGUAGUAGAAGCAGCAGCAGCAGUGGUGGUAUCAGUAGUUGUAGUACUAGCAGCAGCAGCAGCAGCAGUAGUGGCAGUAGUAGUACUAAUGGACUACAUCUACUACUACCACAACUCGUAGUAGUAUUAGUAGUUGCUGCAGUAGUUUUAGUAGUAUCAGCAGAAAUUGAUGUAACAGUGCUUUAAUAGUUUUAAUUACUGAUCAGAUAAGCCUUAAGCUGAAUGGCAUUUAGUUCAUUCUCUAAACUCCUUAGAUUUAAGUAGUUUGCAGCUAGUUACCAAAUCAAAGUUAGACUGAAAUUGUUAAUCUGAUGAUAUAGAUUUAUAAUUCAAUUUUAUAUGAUUGAAACUUUUUCAUAUAAUUUUGGAUUGGUCCCUGCCCACAGUCUAUUACAUUAACUUUCAAUCUACGGAUGUUAAGAGAGUGCGCAAGAUGUAUAAUUGUAAUCGAUGAUAUAGACCCUAAUUGACAAGAUCAAUAAAUUAUGACUGAUAUAUAUUAAGGAUGGUAAUCGCAGAGCAGGAAUACCUACAUUCUAUUUCGUAUGCAAAUUUAGAGAAACGAUGACGUCAUCCACUCUAUUUAAUUCAUCCCGAUUAGUGUAUUUCAUUUUUUCUUGUCCAUACUGCUCAUUAGUUAUUCUUGCCAAAUGAGAAAAGAAGCCAAACUUCCUAAAACUAUCAUGGUGCAAUUUGUAAAUACUUUAAAAUUAAUCGCCGAAUAUCAAUGUACAGAAAGUAGUAUAGGACAACUAUAAGCAAUUGUAGUGAUAAGAAAUAAAAAUUUAUAAGCAGUUAGAAAGGCCCACUUUCGAAAUAAGUAUUAUGUAAUUAUACUAUUUAUUCAUAUAUUUUAUGAAAAUUAAGUACUUUUUUUUCUCUCUCUUAUACAUCGAUAGAGUAAACGAAUCUUAUAGUACUGUAUAUAAUGUUUGUCUAUUAUUUAAAGUUGAAUCAGAUAGUGCGAUAACAUAGAGAAGAAUAUGCCUAUAUCACCUUGAUCACAAACACUGUUAUUUAACACAGAUUGUACAAACAUACUAAACUAUUAAAUAUGUAUAUUUACAUAGACAUGCUUUGAAAUUGUCGCAAGAUGUGCCCAAUAAUAUCCGUAAUGGUUAACUUACGAAAAUGAUUUAAAAAAUUAAUAAUAUCAGAAUAUAAAAGAUAUUAGAGUAUAGAAAGUAAUAUAUUUCAAAAAAUAUAAUGUAAUAUUUUCAAAGAAUGAAAUGGUGAAUAAACAUAACAAUAAAUGUUCCUUGCGUAGACUUCUAUACUACCGCUUUUAGACAUGUAUUUUGGCUUCCAGUGAAAGUUUGUUGACCUUUUGACCUUUUCCUGACCUUGUCUUGACGUUUUAUAUCAUCUGGAUAAGGACUUCUGAUGAAAGACUGAUCAAAAUCAAAAAUAAAAAAGUACACACAUGCAUAAAAACACGGAAAAAAUGAGCUUUCUUCACACCGUCAGUGUAAUUUGCCAUUUAAUGAAAGUUUGUUGACCUUUUGACAUUUCCGGUCAUAACUUUGUAACGAGAGGUCAAGAGUAUAUGAUUGUGUACACUUUUUUGUUCAGUAUAAAAAGACAAACAAUUUGACAAUUGGGAAACAACUGGGACAAUUAAAAAAAUUGACCCUUAUUGACCCAAUUUUGACCACUAACAUGGUCAAGAUGACCAUUAUAAAUUUAUCAUCAAGUUGAAAGUUGUUUCUUGUGAUGUAACCAGUCACAUAAAAGUGAAAAAUCAGACUUAGCCAAUUUGUCGAAGUAAAUGACAUAUGCUGUCUGACUAUUAUUUCGUUCUGGAAAAAAAGCUUAAAAUCCUAUUAAAAAAAGUAAAUUGCAGUAAUGUUGUACCUUUGAGACAACGUAAAAAUUGUUAUAUUCUGUCAUUUGUAAGAUGUCAUUAUCUUUGGUUUAGUUAUAUGACAUGAGCUAGUGUUUUCAUCAUUCAGAUAUUUCACAAAUUGUAUCAUUAAGUUUUCUUCCAGCUACAGAGUGUUUUGUUUUGACUGAAGUGGUAUCACACUUAUCACUUUCUUGAAAUCCUUCGUGCAGGGAAAUCGAUCCAUGACUCGGAUGUUAAGGGGGCAUGAUAACAAAAAAUGUCAACAUUUCGAUUUUAUAACCAAUACAUUUGCACGCGUCGUGUAUUGAUAAGCUGUGUAGGAAAUAAUUCAACGUAUCAGUAAUUUAUGCACGAAAGGGUGCAGAGUGCAAUGAAUCCAUUUUUACGACGGAUACAAAAUUUAAUAAAAACAUACACUUCAAAGUAAAA
Lytechinus pictus (painted urchin) is the source of this 4021-nucleotide long non-coding RNA. RefSeq lists it as uncharacterized. The record is from RefSeq and is a predicted model, not a curated record. The transcript has 2 exons. NCBI's taxonomy places the organism in Eukaryota, Metazoa, Echinodermata, Echinoidea, Temnopleuroida, Toxopneustidae.